Molecule: long non-coding RNA, 2918 nt
Organism: Lemur catta (Ring-tailed lemur)
Lineage: Eukaryota; Metazoa; Chordata; Mammalia; Primates; Lemuridae
Exons: 3
Source: RefSeq, a predicted model, not a curated record
CACUCGGUCUAACUGUGUCAGGAGCCCUCACCCUGGGCUGUGCACGGGGAUGGCCUGGGAAGCUUUAGAAUGCUGAUGCCCAGGCCCCGGCCACACGAAUGGGGACUGGGUACCAGCCUUUGUUAAAGCCUCCCGGCGAGAACCCCCGGCCCUGAGCAGAAGGAACUCGGCUAACCCGCACGUGGAGGGGCCAGCGUGGAGCCUGCGGACGCGGACACCCUACCUGGUAGGUCUUGGUCUUCAUCGCCAUGACAGCAUUGAUGGGCACCAUGAGGACCAUCACAGCCACCCCAGCCAGGACGGAAGGGCCCAGGUUCUGAGGAAGGAAAGGAGACUCUAUCACUCACCACACAGGGGAGGACAAGGGCCUUCACAGUGUACAGGGACUCUGCCCAGCCAGCUCCGGGCAAGAUGCAUUACUUUUACCCAACGUCUGGAUGUGAGGAGUUUGCAGAUUUAUUUCUGAGCGUCUCUCGGGGUCCUCCCAACCCCUCUAAGAAUAUGCAGUUCCACAAUCCCCCACCACAGCCCCUCAGGGCUGGGUGAGUUCUGCAAGAGUUGUAGGAAGGUUAGUAGAAAUAGUGCACACGGCCGCCUGUUUAUCUUGCUUGAAGGCUGUUUCCAAGUUUGGCUCUUGUGUGGAGCCCAGAAACUUGGAUUUCAAGGGGGUUUCCACCAUUCAAAGAACUGAUAGGAGGGGCUCUCUCUGUGCCUUAACUGUCUGUACAAACCGUAUAGUUUAUGCUGAACACCCCCCUUUCCUUCUGGGAGUUCGGACUUUCGGGAUGUGCCAGGCAAAGGGUGUUUAUGUGACCGACCCCCAGUAAAAACUCUGGGUGCUGAAUCUCUACCGAGCUUGCCUGCUUGGCAAGAUUUCACACGUGUAAUCCUAACUUGUUGCUGGGAAAUCAGGUGCACCCUAUGUGACUCUCCCGGGCAAGGACUCCUGGAAGCUUGCACCUGGUUUCUCCCGGACGUUGUCCCAGGUACCUUUAUUCUUGCUAACGUUGCUGGAUUAAAUUAUAGCCGUGGAUAUGACUACGUUAUGAGGCCUGUGAGUCCUCCUGGCAAAUCAUCGAAUCUGGUGUGGUCUCCGGGACCCCGACACAGAAGCCCAGUGGGUGUCUGUCAUUUGCAACCAAAGCGGCCUUAACUAAGACGGGGAUUCAGCAAAGCAGAGACACUGGCUGUGGGCCCAGGGCGGCACGCCGCGGCCCCCUAAGGCGGUGAGUAACACGAGUGAAAGGUCACACUAAGGAGACGGGAGCCCGGCGGGAGGGACAGGGCUUGCUUACUUUAAGAGCUCGGGGCCGGCAAACAUCAUCAGGUCGUGGACGGCCUUAAAGAAGAAGCUCAUGAGGAAGUAGGGCCCGAACGUCUUGUAUAACACCUUGAACAGACAGGGCUCCCGGUCCUUCUGGGGGGACUUGACAAUCAAGGCCUCCGCCUCCUCAUUCACAUCCAGCUUGGAACCCCCUUUCGGCUUGGUGGGGUCCUUCGAGGAGCACACCAUCUUCACCGGCUGCCUGGAACACAGCGGGGGAACAGCUGUGGGGUCCACCAGCGACGCAGCCGCCACCCCAGGGGGAGGCCAGGGGACGUCACCCUUCAGGGAAGGCAGAGCCAAAGACGACAAGCCACCGCAGAGAGGCAGCUUAGCACAGUGGCUCUGAACACGGAGUUCAAACCCCGGCUUGGCCACUGGCCAGCUGUGUCAUUUUAGGCAAGUUCCUUGACCUUGAGGCCUUAGUUUUCUCAUUUGUAAAACAAGGACAAAAGUAGAAGCCACGACACAGGGCUGCUGUGAAAACUGAGUUGCUAACAUGUGAAAGGUCUAGAAAAGCACCAGCCCCGAACUGAUCUACAGAGUCAACGCAAUCAAAACGAGGGCCGGCGUGGGCCAGCUUCUAACAGCUGCCCGCAUUCCUAGACUCACGGCCACUUCCUCCACCUUCAAAGCCGGUCUCUGACCUCCUGUCUCCCACUCACAAGGAAGCUUGUGAUGGCAUCACACCUGCCCAGAGGAGCCAGAAUAUUCUCCCCAUUUCAAAAUCCUUCAUCGCAUCUAGAAACCUUUUGUCAGGCAGGGAAAAAUCAUCGCCUAAGGUGAGCAACGGGACCUGAAUGCUCAAGUCAAGACUCAACAUAAAAGUGGGACCCUUAACUCCCUAAGAACUGAGUACUGCACCUUCAGGCUACACUACGUUUCCAUGUAUAAGCAUUAAGCCCUGGAAGCAACAAAUGCUUACAAAAAUGGUGAAAUCUUACAAAAGUUAAUUUAACAUUACAGUGGAACAUUCUAAAUGAAUAACACUGUACUUCAAGAAAUGCAUUUAAAAAUGAGGGCUCCCAAAUUAGGCUCAUCCAGGGAUGUCUACUGAUGUGCAGAAACUUCUAAGAAGAUUUCAAGAUUUGUACUGACUCUUUUAAAAAACUCUUAACAAAAGAGUGCCACGCCCCGGCACAUGGUCUCAGAGGGUCGUGGCCUACAGAAUCCACAGCCCACUUAAGAAACGUUGUUCUCUCUUCUUUUCUACCCAAAUUGCCUUAACUGCACGUGAGACUCUAUCCCAUUUGGCAGAUGAGCAAACUAUGGCCCAGGGAAGUGAGGCCUCUUGCCCAGAACCACAAAGCUAGUACAAGGCAGCACUGCCAGCCCCUCAACCUGGACUCAGGCCACGGGAAGGAGGUGAUUCAUCCCGAGUGUCUGGCUUCCCAGGAAGUGCAAGGAAACUCACACUUACUUCCUACACUUGGCACAUUCCUUCUUCCAGUUCUUCACCAGCACAGGCACAACUUGUUCCGACGUGUCCUCCCUGUUGAGGGACCAGAGGUCACUGCCCUCCAGGGGCUGGCGGUAGCCCCGGAUCAUCAACCUGGGCCAAGACACAAGGGGACCAGUCGAUGAGAACCGAUGG